UACGGAGGGUGCAAGCGUUGUCCGGAUUUAUUGGGUUUAAAGGGUGCGUAGGCGGCUUGAUAAGUCCGUGGUGAAAGCCAACAGCUCAACUGUUGAACUGCCAUGGAUACUGCCGGGCUUGAGUACAGACGAGGUAGGCGGAAUUGAUGGUGUAGCGGUGAAAUGCAUAGAUACCAUCAAGAACACCGAUUGCGAAGGCAGCUUACUAGGCUGUAACUGACGCUGAGGCACGAAAGCGUGGGGAGCGAACAGGAUUAGAAACCCCUGUAGUCC
Molecule: ribosomal RNA, 273 nt
Filed under: uncultured bacterium
Lineage: Bacteria
Description: partial 16S ribosomal RNA
Rfam family: Bacterial small subunit ribosomal RNA
Source: RNAcentral